GAUGAACGCUGGCGGCGUGCCUAACACAUGCAAGUCGAGCGGAGAGAGUCGAGUAUUCGUACAAAACUCUCUUAGCGGCGGACGGGUGAGUAACACGUGAGUAACCUGCCCUUCUUCUGGGGAAUAACACAGAGAAAUUUGUGCUAAUACCGCAUAAAGUCACGACUGGGCAUCCAGAUGUGACCAAAGGAGCAAUCCGGAGGAAGAUGGACUCGCGUCCGAUUAGGUAGUUGGUGAGGUAACGGCCACCAAGCCUACGAUCGGUAGCCGAACUGAGAGGUUGAUCGGCCACAUUGGGACUGAGACACGGCCCAGACUCCUACGGGAGGCAGCAGUGGGGAAUAUUGGGCAAUGGGGAAACCCUGACCCAGCAACGCCGCGUGAAGGACGAAGGCCUUCGGGGUGUAAAGUUCUUUUAUAUGUGAGCAGUGCUUCUUAUAUUAACAGUAUGGGGAGAGAGAUAUUAGCAUAUGAAUAAGCAACGGCUAACUCCGU
Molecule: ribosomal RNA, 495 nt
Filed under: uncultured bacterium
Lineage: Bacteria
Description: bacterial SSU rRNA
Rfam family: Bacterial small subunit ribosomal RNA
Source: RNAcentral